AAGUCAAAACAUAGGGUGACACAGAACUAGUUCCAGUUCAUCAAUGUAAUGUAGGCAUGUAUUCCGAAUAUAGUCAUACGUGCUUAUGGAAAA
Aegilops tauschii subsp. strangulata is the source of this 93-nucleotide non-coding RNA. The record is from RefSeq and is a predicted model, not a curated record. NCBI's taxonomy places the organism in Eukaryota, Viridiplantae, Streptophyta, Magnoliopsida, Poales, Poaceae.